UGGGGAAUAUUGCACAAUGGGCGCAAGCCUGAUGCAGCCAUGCCGCGUGUAUGAAGAAGGCCUUCGGGUUGUAAAGUACUUUCAGCGGGGAGGAAGGGAGUAAAGUUAAUACCUUUGCUCAUUGACGUUACCCGCAGAAGAAGCACCGGCUAACUCCGUGCCAGCAGCCGCGGUAAUACGGAGGGUGCAAGCGUUAAUCGGAAUUACUGGGCGUAAAGCGCACGCAGGCGGUCUGUCAAGUCGGAUGUGAAAUCCCCGGGCUCAACCUGGGAACUGCAUUCGAAACUGGCAGGCUAGAGUCUUGUAGAGGGGGGUAGAAUUCCAGGUGUAGCGGUGAAAUGCGUAGAGAUCUGGAGGAAUACCGGUGGCGAAGGCGGCCCCCUGGACAAAGACUGACGCUCAGGUGCGAAAGCGUGUGGAGCAAACAGG
Molecule: ribosomal RNA, 429 nt
Filed under: Chloroflexota bacterium
Lineage: Bacteria; Bacillati; Chloroflexota
Description: Chloroflexi bacterium partial 16S ribosomal RNA
Rfam family: Bacterial small subunit ribosomal RNA
Source: RNAcentral